UACGUAGGUGGCAAGCGUUGUCCGGAUUUAUUGGGCGUAAAGGGAGCGCAGGCGGUGACUUAAGUCUGAUGUGAAAGCCCACGGCUCAACCGUGGAAGGUCAUUGGAAACUGGGUCACUUGAGUGCAGAAGAGGAAAGUGGAAUUCCAUGUGUAGCGGUGAAAUGCGUAGAUAUAUGGAGGAACACCAGUGGCGAAGGCGACUUUCUGGUCUGUAACUGACGCUGAGGCUCGAAAGCGUGGGGAGCAAACAGGAUUAGAUA
RNAcentral lists this ribosomal RNA (261 nucleotides) under uncultured prokaryote. RNAcentral's name for it is "partial 16S ribosomal RNA". It matches the Rfam family "Bacterial small subunit ribosomal RNA", at positions 524 to 784 of the family's 1533-position model. The record is from RNAcentral.